GCCAUUCUGGAGGUAUCAGAAGUGAGAAUGCAGGAAUGAGUAGCGAGAAGGCGGGUGAGAAUCCCGCCGGCCGGAAGUCCAAGGUUUCCAGGGGAAGGUUUGUCCGCCCUGGGGGAGUCGGGACCUAAGCAUAAGCAAGAAUGUGAUGGCGAAUGGAAAACAGGUUAAUAUUCCUGUACCGCUAUUAUCGCUUGAGAGAUGGAGUGACGCAGGAAGGUAUGUGGGAAGGCUGACGGAAUAGCCUUUCCAAGGGCGCAGCAUGGACACGCAGGAAAAUCCGCGUGUCUAAAUGUGAGACCUGACGGGGAAGUGCAUAUGCAUAAGCCACAGAUCCUACACUGCCGGGAAAAACUUCUAUCGAUGAGAAAUAGCGCCCGUACUGUAAACCGACACAGGUGGACAGAGUGAGAAACUUGAGGCCGACAGGAUAACUCUAGCUAAGGAACUCUGCAAAAUAGCCCCGUAACUUCGGGAGAAGGGGUGCCUGAUAUACCUGGAGGGAGAGAUGCCCCGAGGGGAAACAGGCCGCAGUGAAGAGUCCCAAGCAACUGUUUACCAAAAACACAGGUCUAUGCUAAGCUGAAAGGCGACGUAUAUGGGCUGACACCUGCCCAGUGCCGGAAGGUUAAGAGGAGGGUUGAGAGAUCCGAAUUGAAGCCCCGGUGAACGGCGGCCGUAACUAUAACGGUCCUAAGGUAGCGAAAUUCCUUGUCGGGUAAGUUCCGACCUGCACGAAUGGUGAAAUGAUUUGGGAGCUGUCUUGGCUGGAGACCUGGUGAAGUUGUAAUGCCGGUGAAGAUACCGGCUACCUGCAGUAGGACGGAAAGACCCCGUGGAGCUUUACUGUAGUCUGGCAUUGGGUUUUGGCUGUGUGUGUAUAGGAUAGUUGGGAGACUGUGAAGUUAAGGCGUCAGUCUUAACAGAGUCGUCGUUGGAAUACCAACCAUAUGCCGUUGAAAUUCUAAUCCGGGAACGGAGACAGUGCUAGAUGGGCAGUUUGACUGGGGCGGUCGCCUCCCAAAGAGUAACGGAGGCGUUCAAAGGUUCCCUCAGGCUGGAUGGAAAUCAGCCCGGGAGUGCAAACGCAUAAGGGAGCUUGACUGCAAGACUGACGGGUCGAGCAGGUACGAAAGUAGGAGUUAGUGAUCCGGCGGUUCCGUAUGGAAGGACCGUCGCUCAACGGAUAAAAGCUACCCCGGGGAUAACAGGCUGAUACUUCCCAAGAGUCCAUAUCGACGGAAGUGUUUGGCACCUCGAUGUCGGCUCGUCUCAUCCUGGGGCUGGAGAAGGUCCCAAGGGUUGGGCUGUUCGCCCAUUAAAGAGGCACGCGAGCUGGGUUCAGAACGUCGUGAGACAGUUCGGUCCCUAUCCACUGCAGGCGCUUGAAUACUGAAAAGAUCUGACCUUAGUACGAGAGGACCGGGUUGGACAGACCUCUGAUGUAUCAGUUGUCACGCCAGUGGCAUGGCUGAGUAGUCACGUCUGGGACGGAUAAUCGCUGAAAGCAUCUAAGCGAGAAACCGGCUUUGAGAUGAGUAUUCGCAGUACCCAUGGAGAACACAUGGUUGAUAGGCCAGGGGUGCAAGUGCAGCAAUGCAUUCAGCUGACUGGUACUAAUAUUACAUUUGCUUUUUAG
RNAcentral lists this ribosomal RNA (1636 nucleotides) under Leptotrichia trevisanii DSM 22070. RNAcentral's name for it is "bacterial LSU rRNA". It matches the Rfam family "Bacterial large subunit ribosomal RNA", at positions 1267 to 2925 of the family's 2925-position model. The record is from RNAcentral. Lineage: Bacteria; Fusobacteriati; Fusobacteriota; Fusobacteriia; Fusobacteriales; Leptotrichiaceae.